RNAcentral lists this ribosomal RNA (460 nucleotides) under uncultured bacterium. RNAcentral describes it as "partial 16S ribosomal RNA". It matches the Rfam family "Bacterial small subunit ribosomal RNA", at positions 338 to 795 of the family's 1533-position model. The record is from RNAcentral.
CCUACGGGAGGCAGCAGUGAGGAAUAUUGGUCAAUGGACGAGAGUCUGAACCAGCCAAGUAGCGUGAAGGAUGACUGCCCUAUGGGUUGUAAACUUCUUUUAUCUGGGAAUAAAAUGUUCCACGUGUGGGAUUUUGUAUGUACCAUAUGAAUAAGGAUCGGCUAACUCCGUGCCAGCCGCCGCGGUAAUACGGAGGAUCCGAGCGUUAUCCGGAUUUAGUGGGUUUAAAGGGAGCGUAGGUGGAUUGUUAAGUCAGUGGUGAAAGUGUGCGGCUCAACCGUAAAAUUGCAGUUGAAACUGGCAUGCUUGAGUACAGUAGAGGUGUGCGGAAUUCGUGGUGGAGCGGUGAAAUGCUUAGAUAUCACGAAGAACUCCGAUUGCGAAGGCAGCUCACUGGACUGCAACUGACACUGAGGCUCGAAAGUGUGGGUAUCAAACAGGAUUAGAUACCCUAGUAGUC